Long non-coding RNA from Prionailurus viverrinus (fishing cat), 676 nucleotides. RefSeq lists it as uncharacterized. The transcript is spliced from 6 exons. Lineage: Eukaryota; Metazoa; Chordata; Mammalia; Carnivora; Felidae. The record is from RefSeq and is a predicted model, not a curated record.
CAUCACCUCACCUCAUCUCAUUGCGUAGGCGUUUUAUCAUCUUACAUCAUUACAAGAAGGAAAACAGCAAGGAACAGGGGAUGAGGGAAGAUGGCGGCAUAGGAGGACGCUGGGCUCACCGCGCGUCCUGCUGAUCGCUUAGAUUCCACCUACACCUGCCUAAAUAACCCAGAAAACCGCCAGAGGAUUAGCAGAACGGAGUCUCCGGAGCCAAGCGCAGACGAGAGGCCCACGGAAGAGGCAGGAAGACUAAUGAGCCUCGACUGCUGUCUGUUAGAAAAUGUAAAUGAAAGAGUGACAUCAUUUACUGCAACAAUGGGAUUAAUAAGCAUAAAUUCCACAGAUAUUUGUCCAGAAGUCGUCAAUCUGAAUUAUGAAGUCAUCUUUGUUCUGCAAAAAGGACAACUCUGAUCAAGACUUGAUCACUGUUCCAGUAAGCUUCCCAAGAAGACUUUAACAAACAAGAAAUGAUGACCUCAGUUCCUACUCCUCUUCACAAAUAUUUGUAAAAUCGAUCUUCUGUAUGUCAUCCCAUUGGACAAACAAGUAUCACUUGGGUAGCUUCUGGAUGAAGAAGAAAGAUAGAUGUCUGAGUAGACUUGGAUCUACCUGGCUUGGAGCCAAAGCCAGCUGAAUCCAACCUGGAUGAGUUUCACAUCUGCCAAUUUACAGAAAU